UUGGUUAGAACUUAACCAAUCCCGAUUCGCAAUGAGCGGGAUGAGAAGCGUCACGCCGGCAACGCUUCCACGAGGCCCAAGGGCCAUUGGAAAAACAGUCAAC
Pseudomonas sp. HPB0071 is the source of this 103-nucleotide regulatory RNA element. It matches the Rfam family "rmf RNA". NCBI's taxonomy places the organism in Bacteria, Pseudomonadati, Pseudomonadota, Gammaproteobacteria, Pseudomonadales, Pseudomonadaceae. The record is from Rfam.